This 1167-nucleotide unclassified non-coding RNA is filed under the name Apis florea (little honeybee). Its description in RNAcentral is "serine/arginine-rich splicing factor 7, transcript variant X1". The record is from RNAcentral. Lineage: Eukaryota; Metazoa; Arthropoda; Insecta; Hymenoptera; Apidae.
UUUUUAUGUUAGAAACUGGACUUUAAGUAUCAUCUCUUACAUUUCGAUGAGAUACUAACUACAAAAAAUUGACGUGCUUGACGUGCAAUUUUUUCUUCAAAAUGAAGAAUUGAAAAUGUGAUUUAUUAUAUCGUUAUAUGUUCCUGUUCGAUAAAUUAAUCAACAAUGAAUAAGAUGUCAAGAUAUCCUUCAGAUUGCAAAGUAUAUGUAGGAGACUUAGGAAGUGGUGCGACAAAACAAGAAUUAGAAGAUGCUUUUUCUUACUAUGGAUCUUUAAGAAAUGUAUGGGUAGCUAGAAAUCCACCUGGAUUUGCUUUUGUGGAAUUUGAAGAUGCUAGAGAUGCAGAAGAUGCAAUUAGAGGACUUGAUGGAAGAACUAUAUGUGGAAGACGAGCUCGUGUGGAACCAUCUAAUGGGAGAAGAUUAAGAGAUAGGAGUUAUUUCAGAAGAGGUAUAGGAAGAUUGUUUCAUCCUGAAGAUAGAUGUUACGAAUGUGGUGAAAGAGGCCACUAUGCUAGAAAUUGUCAACGACAUAGAAAUACACGUAAAAAAAGGAGAACCAGCAGAACAGUAUACACAUGAGAAAUGUGUUGCUACUGAGAUUCUCGUGACAUUCGCCUUGGGUUCACUUUGUGAUACUACGUAGUUACAGCACAAAGUACCCACGUUCCUUGGGUUUCUUUCUGCAUUCUACAAGCAAAAGAGGAAAACAUGGCCGAUGGAGUGGCUAGUUCUGCACACUACAAUACUUCUAACGACCACUGAGAUCACCUUAAACUGAAAGUUUUUGCACAUCAGCACUACUGAUCCCACUCCAGGUCUUAUUCACGAUCAAAAUCGCAAUCAAGAUCACGGUCUCGGUCACGUUCGAAGUCAAGAUCAAGAAGCAAGCAUUCACGAUCAUCAUCUCGUAGCCGUUCUCACAGUAGAAAUGACUAUAAUAAAGAUAAAAUUCGUAAUAAACGACGAUCUGAUUCUAGAGAUCGUAGUCCGCGCAGGACCAAAUCGAAAUCUGUUUCUAGAUCUCGCAGCAAAUAAAACGAUGUAUAUUCUUUAGCUGAUAAGUGUAUGAAAAUCAUUUCUUAUGUUAAUAGUUACAUGUUCUAUCAAUUAAGCUUUUCAUGAUUAAUUUUUUCUAAUCCUUUGAAACAAGAUGUUAAAAAAAAA